GGGGAUUUAGCUCAGUGGUAGAGCGCUUGCCUAGCAAGCACAAGGUUCAGUCCCCA
Molecule: non-coding RNA, 56 nt
Organism: Rattus norvegicus (Norway rat)
Lineage: Eukaryota; Metazoa; Chordata; Mammalia; Rodentia; Muridae
Source: Rfam